AUUUUUCUACUCAAGUUCAAAAUGGGUCAUAAAGCAGUGGAAACAACUCACAACGUCAACAGUGCACUUCGCCCAGGAACUGCUAACAAAAAUAUACUGCAGUGGUGGUUCAAGAAAUCUUGCAAAGGAGAUGACAGCCUUGAGUAUGAGCAGCACAGUGGAUGGCCACUGGAAGCUGACAACGACCAACUGAGUGGAUUAUCAGAGCUGAUCCUCUUACAACUUCACAAGAAAUGGCUGAAGAACUCAAUGUGGUGAACCAUUUCCAUUUGAAGCAAAUUGGAAAGGUGAAAAAACUCCACAAGUGGGUGCCUCAUGAGCUGACCACAAAUCCAAAGUUCAUCAUUUUGAAGUGUCAUCUUCUCUUAUUCUAUACAACAAUGAACCAUUUCUCGAUCAGACUGUG
This 406-nucleotide long non-coding RNA is filed under the name Bos taurus (domestic cattle). Its description in RNAcentral is "long non-coding RNA NONBTAT017762". The record is from RNAcentral. Lineage: Eukaryota; Metazoa; Chordata; Mammalia; Artiodactyla; Bovidae.